CUUGAGUGGUAACUGUAGUGGGGAUUAUGUUUUCCAAUGUGCCUGGAAAACCUAAUCCCCACUACUUUGCAUUUAUCAGCAUUAAAUUUAAUGUGCUGUUUUGUUGCUAAUCGCACAGUUUUGUGAGAUUCCCUGGUAACUCUUUGAAGUCUGCUUUGGACUUAACUCUCAAGUAAUUUUGUAUCGGCUUCCAAUUUUGCCAUCUUGCUGUUUACCCCUUUUUCCAGAUUUAUGAAUAUGUGGAACAACACUGGUGCCAGUACAGAUUCCUAGGGGGCACCACUAUUUACCCCUCUCCAGCCACUAUUUACCUUUGACCAUAUCAGCCUUAGUCAUCUAUGUUUUGAAAAUUUUGGUUAACAUUAUUAGCCACAAGCAAUAUUUUUUCCUCUUUAAAAAGAGAGAAAAUAAAUUAAAUGUUAAAAAACCCUACAUUCCAGCACUGUUAUGAAACUAAAUCAGAAAAAUAAGGAAGUGAAAAAUCCUCUGCCAAUUUUAAUUUGUCUGCACAUAAAAAUACUAUGUGUGUAUAAUGUAAGGAGUCAAGCAAAUUAGCAUGGCUUGAUUUCGGAAUAUAGGAAAGUACUAUACUUGAACAGAUCUGUGAUCUGUUUAGUCAGAUAUUUGGUUUCCCAAUGAAGGCCAGUACUUCAGAAGAAGGUGCAAGUCUCCAUAAGAGACAAUUAUGCAGUGACAUGCCAAUAAGGGAAUGUUUUUAACCUCUGGGCUUAGUGGCUGACGGGCAUGAGGUUUGUUGUAUAACGCUUUCAAUUCCUUACUUUGAUGUGUUAAAUGCAUUAUCUUAACAUAGGUUUUUUGCAUUUAAUUAUUUAACAUGGAAGGAGGAAAAUAUAUUUACUUAAGGAAUGCAUAUACAUCUCUCUUGUAACCUACUCUUUGUGGGAUCUCCCACCAUAAAACACUAAUUUACUUAAAGAUAAUUAGCUUGAUGCUUAAAAUAAAACUACACAUUAAACUGUGGGGUUUCCAUGUCUUUAAUUUUGGUUACUGCUGUCUGUACUGCUUGGAAAGAGGGACUGCACAAGAGCAGUUAUAAGGCUGAAUGGUGAUCCUUCUUCACUACGGGGGUGUAUGAGAGGGAGCGGUGUUUUAACUGGUGCCGAGAGAGUUUUGUUACUGUACUGUAGACUCUAUUAACUAAGCAGUUCAACAGCAUUUUACCUUGAAAUCACAACAGUAUCUGACAGGUCCAUAGAGCUUGAAAUAAGCAAGCUUUAUGUGGAUAUAAUAGAGGAGAGUUGGAAAGUGAAGUCCAUCCCCUGCCCUCUCCAGACACGUGGUUCUGACCCUGGACCUUCUUCCCAGCCACUAUUACAACUUGUAAAUUAGAAUAACCACUGCAGCACUUUGUGCAAUUGCAGUGGGUUUUGGGGCCACUGAAAUUCUGUAACUACAGAUUCCUUGGCUUGUCCUCUAGUCUACCCCCUUGUAGUCUCUCUGCCACCCUAUCUGGGACCAACACAGAAACCCUCUUCAUGGUAUGCAGGAAGUGCACAGAUGCCUGUGCAUAGUAGGCCUGUGAUAUCUCCCUAAAGUACAGAUUAAGUCAUUCAGAUUGCCAUAUGCUAGCCCUCUUUACCAUGUGUGAAUUUUACCCUAUAAGGGUUGACACUAGUGGGGCUUCUCUGUACCACUAGGAUUGAGAGGGAUUUUGAAAGUAUUGAUGUAGUACUUACCUAUCUUAGGUAUUUACAAGGUACCUACUGCUUUGGUAUCUAACCUGUUGUUACUCAUAUUAGAGGAACUCAAUGAGCUGAAGCCUUCCAGUUACAGGGAAUCUCUUUGGCGGGGGAAAAGAUGCUCUCAGUGGCCUCUGAAAAUACCCAAAUCAAUUAAAAGAUAGAGCAUGAAGUCUAACUCUUUACCUGAUUGCCUGCAGGUGAGGGAAAGAGAACUUGCACAGGUAAUCUGUCUUUGUGUCACUAGGAAUUUCCAACUCAAACUACUACUGCAAAAUUUUGUGUCCUGAAUAUCCUUUUAAUCCUGCGAUCCCACAUUCCCAGUGAUACCCUCUAUUUGUGCAUUAAUGUGUUCCUUUCUGUUGACCGUGUUCAAAGUAUAAAAAAAUUAGACAUGAAGUACGGUCAUAUCAUGGAAUUGCUUUUUAUGUGUAGGAGAUUCUGGUUCCUU
Dermochelys coriacea (leatherback sea turtle) is the source of this 2151-nucleotide long non-coding RNA. RefSeq lists it as uncharacterized. Lineage: Eukaryota; Metazoa; Chordata; Testudines; Dermochelyidae. The record is from RefSeq and is a predicted model, not a curated record. The transcript is spliced from 2 exons.